CAGCCGCCGCGGUAAUACGAAGGGUGCAAGCGUUAAUCGGAAUUACUGGGCGUAAAGCGUGCGCAGGCGGUUGUGUAAGACAGGUGUGAAAUCCCCGGGCUUAACCUGGGAACUGCGCUUGUGACUGCACAGCUAGAGUAUGGCAGAGGGGGGUGGAAUUCCACGUGUAGCAGUGAAAUGCGUAGAGAUGUGGAGGAACACCGAUGGCGAAGGCAGCCCCCUGGGCCAAUACUGACGCUCAUGCACGAAAGCGUGGGGAGCAAACAGGAUUAGAUACCCCCGUAGUCCCUGUCUCUUAUAC
RNAcentral lists this ribosomal RNA (301 nucleotides) under uncultured bacterium. RNAcentral describes it as "partial 16S ribosomal RNA". It matches the Rfam family "Bacterial small subunit ribosomal RNA", at positions 509 to 807 of the family's 1533-position model. The record is from RNAcentral.